GACGAACGCUGGCGGCGUGCUUAACACAUGCAAGUCGAACGAUGAACCCGGAGCUUGCUCUGGGGGAUUAGUGGCGAACGGGUGAGUAACACGUGAGUAACCUGCCCUGGACUCUGGGAUAAGCGUUGGAAACGACGUCUAAUACCGGAUAGGACCUUGGAUCGCAUGAUCUGGGGUGGAAAGUUUUUUCGGUCUGGGAUGGACUCGCGGCCUAUCAGCUUGUUGGUGAGGUAAUGGCUCACCAAGGCGUCGACGGGUAGCCGGCCUGAGAGGGUGACCGGCAGCGGUGAGAAGGGGAAACGGGACAGAGUCCUGGGGGAGGGAGGAGUGGGGAAUGAUGCAGGACGGGGGGAGGCCUGACGCAGGAAGGGCGCGGGCGGGGUGGCGGCGUGCGGGUUGUAGACAGAAGUGGCCAGGGACGAACCGUGAGUGACGGCAAGGGGUAAAGAAAAAACCGCUAAAUAAGUG
This 468-nucleotide ribosomal RNA is filed under the name uncultured bacterium. RNAcentral's name for it is "partial 16S ribosomal RNA". It matches the Rfam family "Bacterial small subunit ribosomal RNA", at positions 28 to 507 of the family's 1533-position model. The record is from RNAcentral.